GGCGGGGUAGCUCAGCUGGUUAGAGCGACGGAUUCAUAACCCGUAGGUCAGGGGUUCAAGUCCCCUCCCCGCUACCA
RNAcentral lists this transfer RNA (77 nucleotides) under Capsulimonadaceae bacterium. RNAcentral describes it as "tRNA-Met". It matches the Rfam family "tRNA". From Rfam's summary of the family: Transfer RNA (tRNA) molecules are approximately 80 nucleotides in length. Their secondary structure includes four short double-helical elements and three loops (D, anti-codon, and T loops). Further hydrogen bonds mediate the characteristic L-shaped molecular structure. tRNAs have two regions of fundamental functional importance: the anti-codon, which is responsible for specific mRNA codon recognition, and the 3' end, to which the tRNAs corresponding amino acid is attached (by aminoacyl-tRNA synthetases). tRNAs cope with the degeneracy of the genetic code in two manners: having more than one tRNA (with a specific anti-codon) for a particular amino acid; and 'wobble' base-pairing, i.e. permitting non-standard base-pairing at the 3rd anti-codon position. Lineage: Bacteria; Bacillati; Armatimonadota; Armatimonadia; Capsulimonadales; Capsulimonadaceae. The record is from RNAcentral.